Molecule: ribosomal RNA, 234 nt
Filed under: uncultured bacterium
Lineage: Bacteria
Description: partial 16S ribosomal RNA
Rfam family: Bacterial small subunit ribosomal RNA
Source: RNAcentral
GAUCCUGGCUCAGAUUGAACGCUGGCGGCAGGCCUAACACAUGCAAGUCGAACGGUAACAGGGAUCAGCUUGCUGAUUCGCUGACGAGUGGCGGACGGGUGAGUAAUGUCUGGGAAACUGCUUGAUGGAGGGGGAUAACUACUGGAAGCGGUAGCUAAUACCGCAUAACGUCGCAAGACCAAAGAGGGGGGACCUUCGGGCCUCUUGCCAUCGGAUGUGCCCAGAUGGGAUUAG